ACUCCAGCUGCUCUGCAGAGAAACCAUGUUGAAACCCUUGGGAUUUUGUGUUAUCGUUCAGCUGUCUUUGGCAGUAGGAAUAAAUGCUGAUCUGAGUGUUAAGAGGACCUCCUUUGGCUAUAAUCUAACAAACCGCUGCUACAAAUUCUCCGGUCUCUCAGUGUGGAAACAAAGCUACACCUAUACAACUCCUUCCUGUCUGUUAAUUCUGACGGAAAGAUACUGACUACGACGGACGGAGUCUGGAGGUCCCAUGACCACAGCGGAAGAGUCAUUGCUGAACUGGACAAA
This is a long non-coding RNA of Perca flavescens (yellow perch), 291 nucleotides long. RefSeq lists it as uncharacterized. The record is from RefSeq and is a predicted model, not a curated record. NCBI's taxonomy places the organism in Eukaryota, Metazoa, Chordata, Actinopteri, Perciformes, Percidae. The transcript is spliced from 3 exons.